CAGUCCUCCUCGUCUCUCAGCAGAGCAGCAGCAGUGGCGCCAGGGCACCGACCUUUAGACACAACUACUGUUUCACUCAACAAUCUUUUUCCUCCGCUGAUCCCUUCCUCCACCCCUCCUCUUCUGCCUCCUCCGCCCUCCCCGCUCAUCUCCUCCUUCCUCUGAUUAUGAAGAUGAGAACUGGUUCCCGUCUCCUCUGCUUCUGUUGUGCCUCCACCUGAACAGCGUCCUCUCUCUUCGCUCUGCCAAGAUGUCCAUCCAGCAGCUCCAUGUCCUUCCGGCAGAACAGGAAAAAAGCAAAGUGAAGUGAAUCAAAGCAAGCUUCCUAUCUGCACUCUGCCUUCCACGGCCUGCUGCAGAGAAGCAUCCCCACGACAUGAUGCUGCCACCACUGUGCUUCACAGUGGGGAUGUGCAGUAAUUGGUACCCACCAAGAAUA
Molecule: long non-coding RNA, 439 nt
Organism: Cheilinus undulatus (humphead wrasse)
Lineage: Eukaryota; Metazoa; Chordata; Actinopteri; Labriformes; Labridae
Exons: 3
Source: RefSeq, a predicted model, not a curated record